This is a small nuclear RNA of 199 nucleotides. It matches the Rfam family "U2 spliceosomal RNA". From Rfam's summary of the family: U2 is a small nuclear RNA (snRNA) component of the spliceosome (involved in pre-mRNA splicing). The record is from Rfam.
AUCUCUUCUCCACCAGUAUCGCAGCACGCUGACAAUCGCUCAGUACCUGGUCUUUUCAGUCCAAUCGCUGAAACUCGACCACUGUCGAUUUACGAUUAUCAUCAUUUUUCGAACCCACGAGGUGCUCACUGAGCUUGCUCACAGCAGUCUUGCACCGUGUCCUUGGCCUUGCACUGCCGCCUUGUGACGCGAAGAACGC